Long non-coding RNA from Rosa rugosa (rugosa rose), 1368 nucleotides. RefSeq lists it as uncharacterized. The record is from RefSeq and is a predicted model, not a curated record. NCBI's taxonomy places the organism in Eukaryota, Viridiplantae, Streptophyta, Magnoliopsida, Rosales, Rosaceae. The transcript is spliced from 3 exons.
CGGCAAUUCGGUAAGGAACGAAUUAGGCCUCUCUCUCAGUCUCAGUCUCAGAUGGAUGCUUCGAUCGGGAAACGCUUAUUCUCUUUGAGAUUCGAAUUAGCCACCUCAUUUCGAUCAUAAAAUCGGCCGGUCGAGGAUUUGAUUGUGCUCCAGCAGCUCAAGCAUGAAGCAACUAGCAUGAUGAAGCAGAUAGAGCAUCUUGAAGUUUCUACAUGGUUCACAAACUUGUCAUAUAUAGUUUUCGAAAGCAUCUCUUAUACUUGCAUCUGUAAAUGGCUCAGGAAAUUGUUGGGAGAGAGUCUAGAACUACGCACCAUUGAAGAUUUCUUGCAAAAGUUGGAGAGGAGUGCGAACUGCAUUUGAGCAAGGAAGAAACAGGUUUUCAAGGAACAGAUUGAGUCAUUGAGCAACUGAGAGAAAAGGUAAAUUUCUACAGUACUACCGUCAUUUACGGGAUAUGCGGGCCCCAAACUCUGUGUGUAGACACACUUAUUUAGGUCCACCAAAAUUUGUCUAUAGUACAUGUGACAGCAGCUUGCUGGUUAAAAAUAAAUAAGGUUUUUGAAUGUUUAAAGGCUUUAAUAUAACGUUCUAAACAGUUAUUUUCAAAAAUAAAUAAAUAUAGCAAUUACGGUCCGUGUGUGGCCUAUAAUACACCUAAUCAUAUAUACAUUUCAUAGGAGUAAAAUUAAUCUUUUUCUGAAGACUUUUUCCUAUUGGGACAUCCAUAUAGGCCUUAUUUGAAUUUUGAGGAAUUUUCUAUCAGCUUCAGUUUUACCAUUCAGAAAUGUCGAGCCCUUUAUACAACCACAGGUGCAUGUUUGAUUUUGCGUGCUAGGGUGGGUAAUCCACUGAGGCCUAUCUGAUAACUUGAGGAAAGUUUGAUAGAUAGAGUCAAUGAUACAACAUCUCAGGGCUGCUAAGUGCAAACGAUAAACGUUAAAGUUGAUUAUAAUGAGAGGCACCACAAAUUGGAAGAAAUCAACAGUGUUUGGGAUUUGGCUUUGGAUGAGGCAAUGAGAAGAAAAUGGAUGAGAAUACCAACACUGCCACUGGUUUCAUGUUGCCUCAUACCGGAAUGUUUUGAUACCACUGGCUACAGUCUGACAAUCUUCUUCUCUACACUAAACAGCCGCCGCAUCAUCUCUUGCAACAGUCCAGUGCUGUUAACAAAAGACUGGUGAGAGAAUGCUCCCAAGACUGACUAUUUGUGAACCGAACACAAUCGGAUGCGCUUAUUUUCUAUUAAAAAGUUUCUGAUAAUUUUGUUUUGAUAUUUUGUUCUGAUAAUAGGAGUACCCUGUGUUUGGUAGUUCUAUUCAAGUCAAAAUGUGUUUUCUGCACUUUGCUCCUGCACUGGGCUUUAGU